This 460-nucleotide ribosomal RNA is filed under the name uncultured bacterium. RNAcentral's name for it is "partial 16S ribosomal RNA". It matches the Rfam family "Bacterial small subunit ribosomal RNA", at positions 338 to 795 of the family's 1533-position model. The record is from RNAcentral.
CCUACGGGUGGCAGCAGUGAGGAAUAUUGGUCAAUGGGCGGAAGCCUGAACCAGCCAAGUCGCGUGAGGGAUUAAGGCCCUGCGGGUCGUAAACCUCUUUUGCCGGGGAGCAGUGGUCCGGACGCGUCCGGACCGGGAGAGUACCCGGAGACAAAGCAUCGGCUAACUCCGUGCCAGCAGCCGCGGUAAUACGGAGGAUGCGAGCGUUAUCCGGAUUUAUUGGGUUUAAAGGGUGCGUAGGCGGGCAUUUAAGCCGGCGGUCAAAUGUCGGGGCUCAACCCCGUCGAGCCGUUGAAACUGGCAGACUUGAGUUGGCGAGAAGGACGCGGAAUGCGCGGUGUAGCGGGGAAAUGCAUAGAUAUCGCGCAGAACUCCGAUGGCGAAGGCAGCGUACCGGCGCCAGACUGACGCUGAGGCACGAAAGCGUGGGGAUCGAACAGGUUUAGAUACCCGUGUAGUC